Molecule: ribosomal RNA, 253 nt
Filed under: uncultured bacterium
Lineage: Bacteria
Description: partial 16S ribosomal RNA
Rfam family: Bacterial small subunit ribosomal RNA
Source: RNAcentral
UACAGAGGUCCCAAGCGUUGUUCGGAUUCACUGGGCGUAAAGGGUGCGUAGGCGGUCGGGUAAGUCUGAUGUGAAAUCUCACAGCUUAACUGUGAAACUGCAUUGGAUACUAUCCGGCUCGAGGAAUGGAGGGGAGACUGGAAUACUUGGUGUAGCAGUGAAAUGCGUAGAUAUCAAGUGGAACACCAGUGGCGAAGGCGGCGAUCUGGGAAGAUACUGACGCUGAGGUGCGAAAGCGUGGGGAGCAAACAGG